GACGAACGCUGGCGGCGUGCUUAACACAUGCAAGUCGAGCGGUAAGGCCCUUUCGGGGGUACGACGAGCGGCGAACGGGUGAGUAACACGUGGGUGACCUGCCCUCAGCUCUGGGAUAAGCCUGGGAAACCGGGUCUAAUACCGGAUAUGACUCCAUGACGCAUGUUGUGGGGUGGAAAGCCUUGUGCGGCUGAGGAUGGGCCCGCGGCCUAUCAGCUUGUUGGUGGGGUGAUGGCCUACCAAGGCGACGACGGGUAGCCGGCCUGAGAGGGCGACCGGCCACACUGGGGACUGAGACACGGCCCAGACUCCUACGGGAGGCAGCAGUGGGGAAUCUUGCGCAAUGGGCGAAAGCCUGACGCAGCGACGCCGCGUGAGGGAUGACGGCCUGGUGU
Molecule: ribosomal RNA, 395 nt
Filed under: uncultured bacterium
Lineage: Bacteria
Description: bacterial SSU rRNA
Rfam family: Bacterial small subunit ribosomal RNA
Source: RNAcentral